AGUGGAAUGUAAACCCCACGAUAUCAAUCUCCUAACUGGAAUUAUGGUACCUAAAGAAAGGAUCUUGAUGCCAGCUUUAGCACCAGUGAAAGGAGAAAUCAUUGAUUUAACUUCAGAUUUUAUCCAAAAGAGGAAGCAGCCAUCGUUUGAGGGGUCUGUUGAUCGAAAGAUUUAUACCUGUGAGUACCUUCACUGUCCAUAUAGCAAUUAUCAAGCUGGAUUCCUUGACAGGACUACAAGAAAUAAUCAUCAAAUGGAUUGUCCAUUCCGUUUCAACGGCUUUAGCUCCAGUGAAGGGAGAGAUCAUUGAUUUAACUUCAGAUUUUAUCCAAAAGAGGAAGCAGCCAUCUUUUGAGGAGUCUGUUGAUCAAAAGUUGUAUACCUGUGAGUACCUUCACUGCCCAUAUAGCAAUUAUCAAGCUGGAUUCCUUGACAGGACUUCAAGAAAUAAUCAUCAAAUGGAUUGUCCAUUCCGUUUCAACUCUGCUCAACGACUUGGCAUGCCGCCAAAGUAUCACAUCAACAAUGAGAAUAAUACAGUUUUUCCUGCUCAAAUUGCGACUAAGCCAGCUACUUCAUCAGUCACAGCUUCCUCGUCGAUGACUGUCUCUGGGCUUGGACUCCCUGAAGAUGGCCAAAGGAUGAUUUCUGACCUCUUUACAUUUUAUGAUAACAACUUGCAGCAAAAUAGUAGCAUCUGUUCUGGAAAUUCCAAGAUUCUAGCAAAUCAAAGCAUGCAGCAGAACCAAACAGUUGAACUUCCGAUGGACGACAACUUCAACCUGGGACAUUUGGAGGCAGAAGCUCAAGAAUAUUCUAGCAAAUCAAAACAUGCAGCAGAACCAAACAGUUGAACUUCCGAUGGACGACAACUUCAACCUGGGACAUAUGGAGGCAGAAGCUCAAGAAACAAGCAUGACCAUGAAUUCAGCUUAUACUUCGACGGAGUUUCAAUAUGAUCAAUGCAAGUUGCCCUUUGAUGCCCCAUUUGCCGGAAACUUGAACGAUACUACUGAUUACAGAUUUGGUUCCCCAUUCAACAUGGGAGGAAGUGACUAUUCCAUAGAUCAGCUGACAAAGCAGGAUAUAUCUACAUGGUACCUCUGAAACAAGUCUUUGUUGUUUCUAUAUGAAGAGCUGAUAGGUUGUAUAUGUUUAGAUAGCUGUAUCCUUUAUAGACAAGUAUUGUAGUUUCUUUUGUGAUUUAGUUGAUGUUUUGAUGGUUGUAAGUGCUGAAGACAGUAUUAUGCUUAUGGAAAUUAUAUGCUUUAAACUCACUCUUAUUUACGUUAUUGAUUAUACAAUAGGAACCACUUCAUAGAUUGACAAUCGCUUUGCGUUUUCAUCUUCAUUAUACACUACUAUCUCUAGACCUCACUCGUGUGUUUUCACUGGGUCGUUGUUGUUGUCGUCGUCACGUGAUCUUGUUUGGAGAAAGUGCUUCCCGUUUAGUGGAUCCUAUAUGGUGUAAUCCAAAAUGUUUGAUGGCUAAUAAAACAAAUGCGACUAAAGUCCUAGCUUGCCUAACCCUAUGUUUUUCUAACAAAUCACAUGGUUCAUACUUGUAAUAAUAAUGUGAACUCAGUUGCAAUGUUUUGUUCGGUAUAAGUUAAAUCUAAGUGCCAUUUUUGUAAAACUCGUUGGUGCUAUGAAUAAAGUCUUUCUUUGAAAAGAAAAAAAGAUGUAAAGAAAGUUAAGGUUUGGAAACUUUCUUUUCAACACUGUUUGGUUUGGCAAAACGUGAACAAUUAAAUUGAAUUAUAAUGUUCCAACUACCUAAAUUAAAUGUCAAAUAAGAAAAGGUUUGUCCCCUUUCAAAAUUACACAUAAGUGCUGCUUCUCCUUCACUCUCUACAUUCCAGAUUUACCACUAUUUACUUCUGCUACUUUCACAGUUUAAUGGAACUAACGAACAAGUAUACGUUCAAAAUUUAGAGCCCGUUUGAUCAUGAAUUUUUUUACUUUUUUUUUCGAAACUUUUACUUUUUCGAAAUUAUUGUUUGACCAUAAAUUUUUCAAUUUCCACUUGAAGAUAAUUUUGGAUUUUUUCGAAAAUUUGAAAAACUUCAAAAGGUUGUUUUUCAAAACUUCCACUGAAAUCACUCACAAAAAAUAAAAAACAAUCCAAAAUUAUAUUCUUGUCCAAAUAAAACUCUAAUUUCCAAUUGAAUUUUUUAGUAUUUUUAUGCCCAAACUCCCACUUAAAUGGAAGAAAAACAGUGAAUAUGUUAAUCUAUAUACUCAUUACCCCUCCUAAGUCGUCCACUAAAUUCAUUACGUUGCUCCAAUAAUUCAGACGGACCAAUUAAUUAAUUAAAUUACUUAUCUGAUUUUGUACAGUAUUUGUAUGGCUAUUGGCCAUUAGCUUAAAAUCACCAUAAGCUAAACUAUUAAUAACAAGAUUAAAAGAAGAAUUUGAUUCUUUGAAAAGAUCCACUAGGAGUAUUUAUAAAUGAGAAAUAGAGACUUCCAAUAUGAAGAAGAAAUAAGACAGUAUAUUCCUAAGGCAUGUGCUUCGAGAUAAAUUAUUUUAAAAGCAUCUUUUAGCUCUGUUUACUUUUGAAUUGAUUCUUUUAAGGAACUAAAAAUAACUAUUGACAAGUAUAAACACAAGACAUGACACAUGUACUUAGAGAUAAGUUAUUAAAAGAUCUUCUAGAUGUUUUUACUUUUAAAAUGAUUUUAAUUCUUUCUAUUACGGGUAGACCAAGAAAAGCAGUCAAAUUACGUGUCUUUGAUUGUUUAGUUGAAAGUGAAAGUUAUUAGGAUUUUCUCUUUUUACAAGUUUCAAAAGGUGCUAUAAAACCUCUAUGUCUAAAUUAAACGGAAAAAGUCUAAAAUGUCACUUAAUUUUUAGAAAUGAUCUACACAUGUCAUCCGUUAGAAAAAAUAUUCAUUUUAUGUCAUUAUUACAUAUUUCGCCCAUUUAUGCCAUUGACUAACGGCUCAAUUUUUAUUUGGCACAUCCAUGCCACUGCCGUUAGUUAAUAAUGGCAUGGAUGGGCCAAAUGUGUAACAGCAGUGGCAUGAAAUAGGUUUUUUUUUUUUAACGAAUAUCAUAGAUAGAUCAUUUCUGAAAGUUGAGUGGCAUUUUAAAACCUUUUCCGUAAAUUAAAUGGGUGAAAACAUUCUCGUCUACUAUAUAGAUAGGUAGUAAUGGACGAGCACAUAAAUGAUAUAAACUUAUUCGUAUGGGAUAUUUAUAUCAAAUUAAAAUAUUUUUAAUUUAAAUUGAAAUCGUUAAGAAUUAAAGUGAGAAUACCAUUCAUUAAAUUAUGGUUGACUCAUAAAUGUAUGUAUAAAAAAUACAUAUUUUAUAUUAAUUGAUUUGGUAUAAAUAUCCGAUACGAAUAAACUUUUAUCCAUAUAAAGCUCUUUGCUUUGCCAUGACCAAGUCAAAAUUAGGUAUAAAUCAUUAGACUUUCUUGCUCAAUGACAAUUAAGUUUUACUUGCUUAAUUCGGAGCUUAUUGGUACCACUCGUGCAUUAUGUCACCUUCAACAUGCAUUAUGUUUGGUUCCUUUAAGGAGAAGGCGCUAUUUAAUUUUUGGUAUAUUUAUUAAGAAAAUUAUUUAAUAUUUAGCAUUAAUUAUAUAUGUUAUUUGACUUAAUGUUCUUUUUUUAAUCAUAAAUUGAGAACAAAACUAACAGAAAAUUCAAGAACGAAAUUCAGCAUAGAAGAAGAAGGAGAAAUCAAAACUCCCAUGCUUAUAAAGGCAAAAUAAAGUUUAAAAGGUUAAGCCCCACGUGACUAACCGUCGAGGCAAAGGUUCUCUCAUGAUUACUCUUUUUCUCACCUCAAAUUUUUUAUACUUCCUUUACCCCAAAUUAACAAUCAUUUUCGCUCAAAAAAUUAUCCCAAAAUAGUUGUUCCUUUAGGAAUUCAAAACGGUUUGAAAAAAAGUACUUUUGAGUAGAAGCAGAAGCAGUAAUAGAAAAAAGUAGCUUCUCUUUAAAAACAGUUUUUUGAAAAGCACUUUUCUGAAAAAUACACUUAAAAGUAGUUUUUAAAGCUUGGUCAAACACUAAUUGCUGCUCAGAAGUACUUUUCAAAUUAAUUAGCAAACACAAAUUGAUUCUCUCCAAAAAUACUUUUGAAAAAAAUACUGAAAAAAUACUUCUCAAGAUAAGCUGAUUUUUGCAGCUUGGCCAAACAUGCUAUAAAUUUGUUUAUUGUUUCCAAUUAUACCAUUAUAUUAAAGAAGUUGUAGUUUUUUUUUUCAGUAAUAGUAAAUUCUCAAAAACAUUUAAUAGAGUAACUUAGUAAACUAAAUCUUAUAUUUAUCAUUUUCUUAAAUAAAGUUAACAAGACUAAAAUGGGACGGAGGGAGUAACAUAGCAAUUUAGGGCAAAAAAGAAUUUCGACGUUGUCUUCUAUUCCUACUAUUUACAAGCGGGAGUUUAGCAGGUCACCGUCGUCCUCCUUUUUGGGGCAAUUUUGUAAAUUUGUGAUGCAUGUUUUAAUUGAAUUCGCGAGGAUUGGAAUCAUUGUUUUGAUAUAGCGCCGCAUCUUGUUUUAGAUUGCUCUUAUCGGUUUGCCGACUUCUUAUAAUGUGUCUGCAAGAAAUGAACUAAUCAUAUUGGUUGGUAAUUGUUGUUACUAUAGUCCGAUGGUAAAACUUUGUGGUACUUCAUAACAGGACGAUUUUCUUGAUGCUCCGCCCAAGAUCUAUUUACCCUUAUACGUAACUAUUAUUUUAUGAUAAUUCCAUGGCACUGCAGUAGGAUCUUUCAUGAACUUCUGUGGCGCGCAAACAAUAACUACAUACUCAGUCAGCUUUGGUGGAUUAGUUGGCCCCCGCACCACAUAGGCUCCUUUGGGUAGGUACAUCUGGGCUCCCUUCUUCAGUUCAAACCCGUUUGGAGGGCUCAAUGUCAACUGCUCUUCUUUACGGCCUCGUGGGACAUAAAGACUUCCAUCUUUUGGAGGCAUUGCCUCUGUUCCCGUUUCAACUAUCUUUUCUGGUUCUGUCUUGGUGACUUUAUUCUUCUUUUUCCCUUUAUCUUGCUUCGGGGCAAUUUUUGGCUUUCUCUCUUCAUUCGCAAUGGCAAUUAUGGCCUUUAGCACCAGAUCAAAUUUUUUAUCUUCACAAAUCAUCCCAAUCACUAGCCCGUUGUUGUGGGCUGUCAAUGGAUUAUUGGUCACCUUUGGUACAUCAUCAUCCCUUAACACUACUUUGCCUUGCUCUAUCAAGUUCUCCACCGCUCUUUUCAAGGUCCAACAAUCAUUUGUAUCGAGCCUUUCUGCCCCUCAAUGAUAGGCACAUCUGACACCUGCUCUGUAAGCAGGUGACACUGGAUUUUGCCUUGUUUGAGGGACUAGCUGCAGUAGACCCAUUUGGACAAGCUUUGGGAAUAGAUUGGAGUAGGAUUCACCGAUUGGAGUGAAAGUUUUCCUCUUGGAUGGCUCACGAGGAGGAAAAUAUUCUGUGGAGGACAAGGAUUAUAGUGGUUUUGGUAAGGAGGCUGAUUUCUUAUGAAUGGAGCUUGGUUUUUAUUAGCAUGUUUCUGCGAUCGUACAAAAGGUUGAGCAUUCAUGACCGCAUAUGGUUGAGAAGCAUAGGCCAUGUCGUGGUGAGGGUAAUAAUGUUGAGGGGAUCUUUCUAAGAAUAUGGGUCUAGGAGCGCGGUGUCUUCUUUCACCCGAGGCCGCCAUGGCUAUUUCUUCUUUCUUCUUACCCUUUUUCAUUCCUCCAGACCCGCUUUGGAUGGCUUGGGAGGUUGCUCUAAUAGCCGAUUGGCUCAGAAUUCUGCCUGUUUUCAAUUCAUUCUCCACCAUUUCACCAAUUUUAAUAUCUUUGGCGAACAUUUUACCCAUGGCUGACAUCAUAUUCUGGAAAUAAUCAGCUUCUUAAGCUUGGAGAAAUACCGUAACCAUUGUCACCUCGUCCAUUCGAGGCUCUACCCUUGACGCCUAUUCAUGCCAUUUGAUUGCAUAUUCCUUAAAACUCUUAGAGUACUUCUUUUUUAGAUUUGUCAAUGAGUUCCGGUCUGGAGCAAUGUCAAUAUCAUACUGGAACUGUCUAACAAAGUCUCUUGCGAGGUCAUCCCAGAUGUCCCAAUGAGAAAUAUCCUGAUCCAUGUACCACUCAGAGGUGAUACCCACCAAAAUUUCUCCAAAAUAAGCCAUGGGCAAUUCUUCUUUUCCUCCAGCUCUGCGCAACUGAUUGCAGUACUUCUUAAGGUGAGCAAUAGGAUCACCAUACCCAUCGUAUUUUUUGAACUUUGUAGUUUUGAAUCCCAUAGGCAAAUGCACGCGAGGGAACAUGCAUAGAUAGUAUAUGACAUACUCUUCUGCCCACUCAGACCCUGCAUGUUUUUGAGCUCUGCUAUAGGUUUCUCAUCCUUUUUUCCAUUUCAUCAUAUUCGGAAGCUUUAGGAGUCUUGUCCUGUCCUCUUGUGAACCUAAAUGGAGGUGGCUGAGGGUAAGUAUAGGUGGGGUACUGAGGAGGCUCCGUUUGGUAAGUGGGUGUUUGGAAUGUAAAGGCCGACAGAUCAAAAAUGGGUUUGGGCAGUGCAGGCUGUGUUGUGGCCGAGCAUGGGGGAGCGGUAAAGAUAUUAGGAGUUGCUCCGGGCAUGAAGACUUGGGGGCGGACCUCAGAAGGUGUUCCUACGAAAUGAGCCGAUAUGGUGGGCUGUCCCAGUGAGACAUUUGGAUGGCUGAUGGUAACAUUGAAGGUAUCGAUUGAUCUAGGGAACAAUUUGGGGAAUUCGGGGAUGGCACUUGGAGGCACCCUUCCAUUCAUCCAUGCAUCCCACAUUUCCAUGACCCUAAGACGUAGGAUCCUAUUUUCCUUGGCCGCUGCAAACUCUUAGACCGGGAUGCCCGUGAUUGGGCUAUCCUCUGAGAUGAGAAUUGCUCAUUUUCGAAGACAUUUCUGUGCUACCCUUCGAUCUGGUAAAGUAGGGAUGUGAAGCCAGUUUACCACGAAAAACCAACCACCAUUUCUAUAAAACCUGGACUGGAUCUAGGUAUUUGGAAGGAAAUGAAGAUCAACACGGCAAUUAAAUCAGCAACAACACAUAAGAGAGGCGAUUGCAACAGAAAACAACAAUUCCAGCUCAAAACCCAAGAAUAAAGGACAUGAUGCAACAGAUUCCAAAACAACUUCAAUCAACCAACAAAAUCAAGUUGAAUUUGAAAACCAAGUUGGAUGAAACAGCGCAAUCGAAUGAAAUAGAUCUGGAAUUUUUCAGUGAUUUUUUCAAGCUUUAGAUUUGGAUUUUGAUUUUUUCCCCAGAAUUUUGGAUCCCUAGACUGCUCUUAAACUUCUAGAACUCUCUUUGAAAUUUUAGAUCUCUAAAACCUUCUAAAAACCUCAUUUGCAAGGCAAAUGGUAUGCCUAUUUAUAGGCAAAACUAGGGUAACUUUUAGAUUUUAUUUUUACACCCUAAGUCCCUUAUUUCAAAUUCAAUUUUAACUAAUUAGUCCCCCAAUUCAUGCCUUGUUGUCCAAGUAACAUUACCAAGUUCCUGAAAUCCAAACUAGAACCCCCUUCUAGAAGAUUCUAAGGGGUUCUAUUUUAGUUACUGUAGGAUUUUCUGAAUUGAACUACCUAUACUAUCCCUACAUUAGUCCUAAAAUUACUAACCUAUGUUAAUUAAACCUAUCCCAUUUUACCUUGGUCAAAAUUGACUAUGGUUAAUUAACAAGGAGCUGGAAAUGAUCAGCUAUAUUCAAACAAUUUCAAUCAUAAUAAAAGAAAACCUAAAAUUGAACUAAUAGUCUAAUUAUCCUAUUUUAAGUAUCAAAAUCUAAACUAACUAUAGAAUUGAACCUGAACAAGCAGAAUUAGUUCUAAUAUAAAUCAAGCCAAAAUUAAGAACAAAUAAAAUUGCAUGGAGUUAAUGUAAAUAGAAGAGGAAAGGAAAUCAGAAACUAAAAACUCUAAAAAACUAGCAAACAAAAUCGAAAAGCAGGCAAAAUACUGAUUAAUCAAACUAAAACAACUAAAAAUCAUAUCCUAGAACAAACAAGGAGUACGAUAGGAUUAAUUCUAAUAAAAUUCCCUAAAUUAUAUACUGGAGAAAAAUCAAUAAGAACUAAGCAAUAGCUAAAAAAAGAAGAAGCAAAAACAGUAAAAGAGAAUACAAGAAGAAAAGCUCACGCGAAUAUUAAAUUGAUCUCGACUGUCUUUGAACUUGAUCCCAAAUGAUGUUAUUUGCCUAUUCUUUGCCAAAAAAAGGCAAAUAACAUCAUAUAAGGAUCAAUCAACCACUGAGAAACACCCAAGCAGACUGAAAUCCCCAAAGACCCCAAAUUGGAACCCUAGAUCUAGGAUUCGAGCAACUCCGGUUAGAUUUGAAGAAAACUGAUUUGGGAUUUGGAAAGAAGAGGGUGAGGAGAGUCUUGGAUGUAAUUUGAAGGCGGUGACGGCUAGGGUUUUCAUUAUUCGAAGGGAUUGGUGUGGAUUUGAGAAAAAUGGAGGUCGGAUAUGGAAAGAGGGGGUGAAUGAGCAGCUAUGAUUUAAUUUUGGAAUUAUUUGGAGCCUCACCGCCGGCGGAAGUGAUUUCCGGCCGAUGACGGAUGGUGGAGGUAAGCGGAGUUACGUCGGAGGUUAGAAGGGGUGUGAGAUGAUGAGAGAGGUAGGGGAGGUGUCACGACCCAAAACCAGUUGUGAUGGCACCCAGCCCUAAAGCUAGGUAAGCCUGACCAACAAUCGCUUCCAAUUCAACACUAAGUCUCCAAAAAUCGAUAAUAUAAGAAUAUUAUAUUAAUUUUAGAAUAAUAAUCCAAAAAUAUUAAUAUAGUAAUAAGGAGAAAUACGGAAGACCGAUAAACACCCAUAAGAUCUGGGGUCACGAGUCUAGAGCCUCUAAACAAAACUGUAUAAUAAUAUCUGGAUGGAAAUAAUAAAAUCUCGAAUGUAUGUAAUAAUAAUAAACUGGAAAAAAAUGAAAAACAGUCAGGUCCUGCGAACGUCAUGCAGCUAUCUCAACGACUUUGGAAAUAUCUCUGGAGACUACGAGUGUCAGCUAAGCCUCCGGUGUACCGGAAUCUGCACACAAGAUGCAAGGAGUAGGGAUGAGUACUACCGACUCAGUGAAUAAUAAGCAUAGAAAAAUGUCUGAAAGUAAGAAAUCCACGAAAUACCACAAAGCAAAGCUAAAUAUAAUAGUCCUAUUCCUUAGCUACGAACUAACGGAAAAACAAUAUCAAAUAUAACAGUCAAGUAUCAGAUAAAGAUGCAAUGCAAUGCACGUGAAUACACUGCGUCGCGCAACCCGAGCCAUCCAUAUUUAUUUAUCGUCGACGACGCUCACUGGGGGUGUGUACAUACUCCGGAGGGACUCCUUCAGCCCAAGCACAAUAUAAAUAUAUAACCGUUGCAGCAUGCAGCCCGAGCCAUCCUCAGUCUACAGUAUGCAUGUAAGUCACAUAACAGAUUCAAUCUGAUUCUUUGCCAGUUUCCAAUUAUCAAGGUGAAUAUAAUUUAAUUAGUCAAUUUCAUAAAUAAGGUGACUUAGCAUUUACUACAGGGAUUAAGCACAAGACUGAGAUCAAUGAUUACGCAAAUCAUGUCAUCAUACAUAUAUUUACCCUAGUCGGGUACUACAAGUCGCCACACAACCCCAAACAUGGCAUUAAGCCAAAUUAUCAACAAUACAAUAUGCGUUUCAGCCACCAAUAAUUUAUAUUCAGCUCUCGGGAUGGACCAAGUCACAAUCCCCAACCAUAUACCCUCCCGCACUUGCCAUGGGGUACGAGUCACGCCCUAACAUAGCGCACGAUAUGAUAAAUCGAGGUUUCAAACCCUCAACCCAUCAUCUAUACAAACUGCUCACCUGUAACCGGCCGUAUAUUGGUCCGCAAUGCUUUUUCCCUUCGAAUCUCCCUCUACAAGCGUCGAAUCUAGUCAAAAUCACAACGAAUACGUUACUAUAGACUAAAUAAUCAUAACACAGUUAAAAUUAUUCAAAAAAUACUAAAAAUUACGAAUUGGUAAAACCCUUAGUCCAAUUAAUAAAUUAUUCUAUACAAACUUGGCAACAGUAGCACUUCAAAGUGCCGAAACAAUAGUAGCUUCAUAACUUAUGCCAUAACCUAUACCAUGUAGUUUAUAUUACUCCAUCAUUACUUGCAAUCAUUACAUCAUGAUUGGCAAUUAUACUUUAUGUACUUAAUAAUAAAUAAGCCAAUACUGUAGGUCUAACAUAGGUUCAAUUUACUGUAUAAGUGUACGAAAAUCUUUGUACAUCCAAAAUUCCCAUCUCAUAUUUAUUAUUUAAAAGCUAACACUCAUCAGUUCCCUCAUUAUUAUCCAAUCACCAUUCAAUCAUUGUAUCUUCAUAAACCAAAGUGCAAAUUGUAAUCAAUAUCCAGAUGCAAAUUGAAUUCCUGGUGCUUUUGUUUUCGUCCACGCCCAAUUAUAAUCCAGUUCCUCCAAUCUCUUGUUCCGCCCUCCGUCUAGUCUCCCGUAUUCUAUUUUAUCAGGGGUUUUCUUUUCCUUUUCCUUCCUUUGUAGUAAAUAGACCCCAAAAUUUCAAUGUUCCGUAUGUUAGGUCUUUUCCCGUGGGCCACCAUAAAAAUACAUAUAUAUGGUCUAGCCCUAACGUUUACCACAUAUUCAAGUCUAAAUUAAACUAAAAUUUUCGAAACUUGCAUUUGAUUUAAAACCCGACCUAAACAUUUCCGAACGAUCUGAAAAUUUGCACGCAUAUCCAAAAUCACCUAACGGAGCUACUACAACUGUCGGAAUUCCAUUCUGACCCCCGGAUCAAAAUCUCACCUAUCAACCGGACUUCGCCAAAAUUCUAACUUAGUCAAUUCAAGCCUAAUUCUACAUCGGUCCUCCAAAUUCAGUUCCGAUUUCGCUCCUAAGCCACAAAUCACCAUCCGAAACUAGUCGAAUUAUCGGAAAUCCAUUCUGAUCCCUCUAACUCAUAAGUCAACGUUUGGUUGACUUUUCCAAACUAAUCUUCUCAUACAGAGACUAAUUGUCUCAUAUUUGUCCAAACUCCAUCCGAAUUACCUCAAACUCUCCAAACACAUAUAAUGGGAUAUAUGGAAACAUAAAACGGGGAAAACAAGGUAAUAUUUCACGGGACCACGGGUCAGGUCAUUACAUCCUCCCCAACUUAAAAAACACUCGUCCUCGAGCGUGCUCAGAGUUGUACUAGGAGUCAACCAAUCUCUGAAUGACCUUACCAAACAUACACCCGGGGUGAUCCCACGUACCCUAACUCAUAUAUGCCCGAUAACACAACACAACUAAAAUUUCACAGGCCGUCUAGACCAUAACCGUAAAGUCACAUUGCACCUCCGAAACCAUAUACAAGAUCAGAACCUCACAUUUAUACUCAGAAUAAGCCUGAGCCGACUGUAAUAACCCAUACCUGCAACUUCAGGUGCACUCACAUGAUAUACCGCAUAUCCUAACACUCGAAAUGAUAACUUAUAUCCACAGUAGUUGUCCACAACAACCAUGUACCAAUAGAAAUCCCUUAUUAGCUGGAGUCUUAUCCCAACACUGCUAUACUCUAUCAAUGAUAAUGAACACACAGUAGACCAUAACCAUUUCUCAUAUCAACCAUUCACGAAGACAUUGCUUCCCCUUUGACUAAUACCACAAAAGAUCUCCGAGCCGAAACUCGAUAUUAACCUUCCAACAAGAUGAAACCAAAUCCGUUCAUACCCAUUAAUGACCCCAAAGGUCUCUUCUGACCAAACACACCAUCAUGGUGACAUGACACUUCAAUACGGCCUAAGCCCCAACUUAGAUAACGCAUACACCAAUAAGAGACGGUCUGAACAUACUCAAGUCAUGAAAAUGACUCAAACGGAAGAGUUGCACCUUAAUCUCAUCAAUACCGUUACAACACAAGGCUGAGACCCCGUAUCAAAUCAUAGGAAUAGAAUACCUGAACCUUUCCCGAAGGGUCUAAUCUCCACGUAGCCUCGCUAUAAUGUGUGAUCUCAUCCAACACCAUUCCACAUGAAGCACCUCGAGUCGCUAUACUCGAACUUGACAACCACGCACACAUUGAUGUCUGAAGCCAAGCAAUCCAUCACACUCACGGUGAAGUGAGUUAUAUACACCAUUCAAUCUUGAAAGAACCCAGUCGAUGCGCUAUUCGCCGAGCAACUCCCAAUACGAACUUUCCUAAAAAACCAGGAAAUAAGGCAUACCAAGUAACACGCGGAAACUAUCCUCAACGUCACACUAUUGCGGCGCGCAACCCGAUCCAUAUAACAUAACCUUCUCAUACAGAGACUAAUUGUCUCAUUAUUAUCCAAUCACCAUUAAAUCAUUAUAUCUUCAUAAACCAAAAUGCAAAUUUUAAUCAAUAUCCAGAUGCAAAUUGAAUUCCAUGUACCAUUGUAAGAAUUAAUACCUGGUGCAUUUGUUUUCGUCCACGCCCAACUAUAAUCCAGUGCCUCCAAUCACUUGUUCCGACCCCCGGAUCAAAAUCUCACCUAUCAAUCGGACUUCGCCAAAAUUCUAACUUAGCUAAUUCAAGCCUAAUUCUACACCGGACCUCCAAAUUCAGUUCUGAUUUCGCUCCUAAGCCACAAAUCACCAUCCAAAUAGUCGAAUUAUCGAAAAUCCAUUUCGAGCCCUCUAACUCAUAAGUCAACAUUCGGUUGACUUUGAACUUUGACUUUUCCAAACUAACCUUCUCAUACAGAGACUAAUUGUCUCAUUUCUACCCAAACUCCAUCUGAAUUACCUCAAACUCUCCAAACACAUAUAAUGUGACAUAUGAAAACAUAAAACGGAGAAAACGGGGCAAUAAUUCAUCGGACGCCGGGUCAGGUCAUUACAGGAGGCCGUGUUCGGACAUGUAUAUACUUAAGGAUGGGGCUUCAGGACCGUUAGAUCAGAUAACCUCGACGGUCCUGAUCGAAUGAGCCUAGAACGACGUCGUUUUGUUGUUUCAAGGACUGAAUAGAAUCAAGGUAAUUUUGGACUGAAUUUUGAGUAGAUUUGAGGAAUAUUUGAGCUGGCCAGUUGAUUUGAAUAUUAGCCCAAACUGGCUGGCAUGCUUCUCUUUUCUCUUUAUUUUCUUUUCAAUUAAUUUCUUUUUCUUUUUCUUUUACUUUUUUUAAAAUUUUUAUUUAAUACAAAAUUAAAAAUAAAGAUCUGAGUUAAAUUCUACAACUAAACUAAUUAAUUUUCAAGAAUUAACUCCUAAUUUCGAACAAACUAAAACCUAUUUGAGAAUUAGAAGUAAAAAUGUAAAAAGAACUAUUUUGUUAUAUUCUUCUAUUUUUGUAAUGUUAUUUAACCAAUAAAAGUAUAAAUAUAAAAUUGAAUCCUAAAUGCAAAGGUACUAUAAUUUGUAUAUAUAUUUUUUAUAAAUUAUACCAACUAAAAAUAUAAAUAAAAUACAAAUAAUCACAAGAAUUAUAUAAGUAACUCUAAAAAUCAAACAAGUUAAAAAAAUUUAAUUUUAAAAAUUUUAUAGGAGUAAUUUAAGCGAAGUAAAAAUCACGUAGACUACAGCACUGUAGUCCGAUUGUAAAAUUUUGUGUUACUUGACAAACUCACCCUUUUGUAAUCAUAAUGUGUAUCAUAGUUAUCUUAGAUGGAUAGGAGUAGAAGCAACACGUGUUACUCAGGAAACUGCAUGUAUUGUCCCUAAUUUGUCUCUAUUUGGACACGUCCUAGCAAUAAAAAUUUCACCUGGUGAAGUCUCCUUGGUUGACUCAGCUUCCUUUAGAAAUUUUGAAACCGUUCUCAUAAUUUCAAUUAAGCUUGAACGACCACAGUCUGUUAAAAUAAUUUUAUUUCGCUAUUUUUCGACUUUGCUUAUUAUUGGGUCAAAAUUUGAUCUCAUGAUAAUAAAUAAUAUCGAUAUAUUUAUUAAAAUCUAUUUAUGACUAAUAAAUAGUAUGACCAUUUAUUCACAAGAUUAUCGGGUAGUUAUCCAAUUUGACAACUAAGGACACGGCCUGGUCGUCUACACGAGGGCGUCCCCUUUAUGUGGUCCCAACUCCUUGGCGCUAGCUGGCAGAUCUCAUGGCUGAAAAUACUAAGAGAAAGAACCCUAAGAGGGAGGUUGCUUCUUCUUCACAUCUCUUUCUAAAAGAAGAGAGAAUACAUCAUUGUAAGGCUCUGAACCUCUCCGUGGAGAGGCAGACCAAACCAAUAUCAUUAAUAAAAGAUCCUCAUCCUCCUCCCUUUAAUCUAUAACUGUUGUCUCUUAUAUUUUAUUCAUUUAGUCUUUGGAUUUAUUACGAUAUGCUAUGAUUGGCCCUCCGUUUAUUUGUUUUAUGCUUCUAAAGUAAAUGAACACUUUGAGCAAAACAAUUUGGCGCCGUCUAUGGGGAUUUCAUAGCAGAAUCACGUAGUUUAUCCUUAGACCGAAAAAGGAAAAUGAACAACACAGCUCGAACGAGCCCAAGUGGCAUACCAGAUCAUAGGAAGUCAAAAACCUCGAGAUAAGCUUGGUUCCGCAUCCCCGCGUCUCCGAGCAAAGGGAAGAAGAAGAAGAAGAAGAAGAAGAAGCAUAUCCCCCAUCCCUAUGAGGAAAAUAGGCCUAAGGUACCUCACCCCCUCUCCACACGGGAUCUUUCCAAAAGGGAGGACAGCACGAAAGCAUCUCUCUAACCGAGAGCUCUAAUGGGGUGACCCGCGCGAGUAAGUCAAAAAGGCCACAAGCGUAAGUUGGGCAAGAUCUAAAACCAGAAGCAAAUCUCAACCCCCUGCACGAAGCGGGUUAUGUGGGAAAAAUCACAAAGGUUCAACUACGGUUGAACGUCAGCUCAGGCUAUGCGCCUUCACCCAAAGUUUAACUAUGGUCGAACUGGGACUCAGGCUAUGUUCCUUCGACUUCAAAUAUUACAAAAGUUCACCUACGGUUGAACGGAAAUUCAGGCUAUGCACCUUCAGUUCAAGCUAUGCGCCUUUUUUUUUCAGGCUAUGCGCAUUCGACACAGGCUACGCGCAUUCAAAUAUUAUAAAAGUUCAACUACGCUUGAACGAAAAUAUAGGCUACGCGCCUUCACAUAAAGAUUCAACUACGGUUGAACGAAAAUAUAGGCUACGCGCCUUCACAUAAAGGUUCGACUACGGUUGAACUAGGACUCAGGCUAUGCGCCUUCGACACAGGCUACACGCCUUCAAAUAUUAUAAAAGUUCAACUACGCUUGAAUGGCAAUACAUGCUACCAUCUUCACAUAAAGGUUCAACUACGGUUGAACUAGAACUCAGGCAAUGCGCCAUCGACACAGGCUACGCGCCUUCAAAUAUUAUAAAAGUUCAACUACGGUUGAACAGAAAUACAGGUUGCGCGCCUUCGAAUAAAGGUUCAACUACGGUUGAACUGGGACUCGGGCUAUGCGCCUUCGACUCAGGUUGUGCGCCUUCACAUAUAAAUUCAACUACGGUUGAACGGCAGUACAGGCUAUGUGCCUUCACACAAAAAGUUUAACUACAGUCGAACUGGGACUUAGACUACGCGCCUUCGAAAACUAUAAAGGUUCAACUACGGUUGAACGACAGCUCAGGCUACGUGCGUUCACCCAAAAGUCCCACUACGAUUUAGACUAGGUGUCGGACCAAAUGCUUCCACCACUGUGAAGUACAAAAGAAUUCAACUGUGAGGCGAAGCAAAACUCAGGCUACACGCCUCCGUCACAAAAGCCGCAAACUCAACCAUAGACGAACCCCAGGUCGGGCCAAGGGCCCCGCUAUUCAAGUAAGUACGACUAACUCAAACUAAAGUGUCGACCCGCGCAAAGUUCAGUCCAAGUCGAAUUACGAGGCCGUGCUUCAUGUAAAUACGACUAACUAUAACUAAAGUGUUGACCUGUGCAAAGUUCGAUCCAAGUCAAAUUACAAGGCCGUGGUUUACUUUACCACGGCCAAUAGUUCAACUAAGCCCUAACUGGGACUAAGGCUAUGUGCCUCCACUGCCCAUCCACGGCUACAACCCACUCUCCCAAGUGGAGGAAGGUGAUGACCAAGAGCGUCUAUAUAUGGCCAAGGCCAUCCGCAUCAAUCACCUCCUAAGGCGAAGGAUCGGUCAUACAAUGGUCAAAAUCACUUAACCAGUUGAGACUAUUAACAUGCCCGCCAGAAGAACUCUAAAGCAAAACCCUAGCAAACUGGCAUAAAAAAUAUAUAAUGUAUUUAACACAAAACAGACAGAAAAGAAGAAAACCUCAUAUAUUCACAAUAUUUAUUCGGGGUUACCCCCAAUUACAUUGGCCCAAGGCCGGCAAAAAAAAUAGAAAAAAGAGAACAAUAACUAAACAAAUAUUACAAAUUUUCUUACUCGGCGCCCCCCUCGGCAUUAUCAGCGCCCUCAGCGCCAUUAUCUCCCCCGGGGGUAGAAGGGUCAAACCCACAGUGAAGGUGGGCUUCACGAGCCUUUUGGCAGGACUCCUCGUAAGUGGUUUUAGACAUGACGCCAGCCUCCCGCAGCUGCAUGUACACGUCGAGCUGAGCAUCGGCAUACGUCUAAAGCUCGCGAGUAGGACCAAAAGCAGCGGCCUGAUCCCUCAGGCGCUGGUUCUCAGCCUCUAAGUCCACAAUCGAUCCUACGCAGCACGGGAAUCCCGAUCGUAGACGGCAAUACGCCCCUCUAACGAUCGUUCUCGAAAAGCAGCGGCAACCCUCUCUAAUCUACGUUCCCUUUCCUGGGCACGGUUGGUCGCCUACAGUGCCUCAACCCUCGCCAGGGCGUCCUCUGCCUACCUCCUUGAAGUGGCAGCCUCAGAAUCCAGGGCAGCCACCUUCCUGGUAUAAGCCUCAGCGGCCUCCGCCGCUGCAGCCAGAUUUUGGCGCUCCCUCUCGGAAGUCGCCCUCCUCUCAACAUCCACCCCUUCGUUCGCCUGGCGGAGCUGCUCCUCAAGAGUGGAUACCCUACUGAGGGUCUGUUGCAAGCGAAGAUCCCUCCGUGCUAGCUCUUCUACCAACUCCCGGUUCCGCGAGUCAUUCCAUAUGCGCUCACGCAAGACACCACCUUCCUGGUAUAAGCCUCAGCGGCCUCCGCCGCUGCAGCCAGAUUUUGGCGCUCCCUCUCGGAAGUCGCCCUCCUCUCAACAUCCACCCCUUCGUUCGCCUGGCGGAGCUGCUCCUCAAGAGUGGAUACCCUGCUGAGGGUCUGUUGCUAGUGAAGCUCCCUCCGUGCUAGCUCUUCUACCAACUCCCGGUUCCGCGGUCGUUCCUUAAGCGCUCGCACAACCCACGGCGCCGGUCACGGUAGCGGAGAUACUUCCCUAACAGCAACGCAAAAAAUACCGAACGAGCAUUAGCCCGCCUAAUGCUCUCCACCUCCAGCAAAAAUGUCUACAACAAACAGAGUGAAGGUUAGCACGAGAAGACAUGCUAAGAAAGAGAACAAACCAAAGUUUUUUGCACAUACCUUUAUACUUAGGGCGGCCACCUCGCCCAUCAGUCCGACGUCCAAAAUGCCUCUCACGGACGUGCUCUCCGCUUCCGAGCACAGGACCCCGAACAUCGUCACUAGGUUCUCCUCCUCGAGCAACAUGUUCACCCGUUAGAAAUCUCGAAAUAACGAUAAUCCCUCUCGGCCUGCACGGCCGAGCAGGUAUAAAACUCAUGUGCAAGCGGGAUGUCCUCGGGAUCCAUAUCGGACUUCGAAUCAUCCCUCUCUCCUGAAACGUCCCUUCCUCCUGCCUCCCUGGAAGUUGAGGCUUCCACCGCCCGAGACGUCAACGCGCCCAUAUUUGCCGUGACGUCAAUGCCUGCCGUCUCCACCAAAACUGCUGCCGAGGAACCACCUUCCCUCGCAGCAACAGGAACAGAAACUUGAGCCGCUGAAGCGACUGUAUCACCUUGGCCCAAGCCAACCGGGGCAACCCCCACAAAGCACUCACCUUCUGGUGCGGGGUCCGCUGCGCCCCCCUUCUCCGCCUACGGUGAAGAAUCUAAACUGACUACCGCCGAGAGGGCCGGGUGAACGCCACCUUGUGACGAGCCAGCAGCCUCUCAUCUUCUUCUUCAUCUCCAUUCGGUGAUUGAUCCGCCCUGGAACGUACGGCCCCUGGAGACUCCCCAACUCGGGACACGGGCCGUACCGGAGAGUGUGCAGCUGAAGACUCCACCGAAGUCGCCCUCAAAAUCGGACGAGGUGCCGGCAUUGUGAUCAUUCUGGCAGUCGCCCCGGGCCUGCGGAAAGCAAGCUGAGGAGCCCUCCUGCAUUGUGGUCGUUCUAACCAACCAAAGAAAAAGAGUUAGGUUAGAGGAACUAAGGAUUACGAAGAAAAAGCAAUAAUCAACAAAUCAUAUUCUUACCAGCAGCCGGCCUGCGGCCCAUGGGCCUCCCAGAAAUACGCCCACGUGCAAAUCCCCGUUGUAACAAGGAGCACAGCCUCAACCCACUCGCAGAUGCCUGAAAUUGGCACCGGUAGCGCACCUCCCACUAUCACACAGAAAGAAGAUCGUUACGUACAAUCAUAAAGCAGAACUCUUAGCCCAAAAGAAAUCAAGGGCAGUAUAAGAGAAACUUACGUGCAUGGUUCCAUUCCGCCGGGAAGUCAGUGGCACACGCCACCAGGUGCUCAGUCCUGAUGUAGAAGAAAUACUCGAAGGGACGAGUAGCAACCUCAUCAUCGAGCUCCGCAGUCAAGCCAUCGGUCCCACAAGGAACCAACCGGAUCAUAGUGCCACGUACCCUCUGAGGAGUGUACAGAGUCAACACGUGCCCAAGUGUAACUUCCCUCCGUGCCAACUCCGCAUAUUUAAUCAGCAUCGCCAAUAACUUGUAACGGGCAGGGACGAGCUGACCAGGGCAUACUCUGUAAUAGCAGCAAAGAUCCACCACCAACAAGGGGAGAGGAAGGCUAAAUCCCAUCCUGAAAGGGUAGGCAUAGAAGACGCAGUACUCUCGAUGGUCGACAUGCACCCUGUCGCCGCUCCUGGCCAAGACGAUGUCGGCAAAGCGAGGAAUCUCGCAUUGCUUCCUCAGUUGAGCUAAGCCAACCUCCCCCAUCAAUGGAUUCUCGUCCAAUUGAUCUUCUCCCUCAGGGUCGGUAAAAUCGAUCGUCGGACCGCCGAGAAGGGAAAGGAUGUCGGUCACCGACGGGAACCGAUCAACGGUCGGCGAAUCAGUGGCUCCCACCAUAGAUGGACUCUCUGCCGCCGCAACCGCCACCGAAACUGCACCGGAACGGGAACUGCUCGCCAUUAUCAAUAUAACGAAAAGAAAAUGGUAAAAUUCCCUGGAAAACAAGAGAAUACGAAUAUCCGACGAGAACGACGGAGAACGAAUCAAAAAGAACUGAAAAACCAGACAAUCUACUGGAACUGCACCGAAAUGGGAACUUCUCGCCAUUAUCAAUAUAACAGUAAAAAGAUGGUAUAGUUCCCCGAAAAAACAAGAGAAUACAAAGAUCCGACGAGAAUGCGGAGAAUGAAUCAACAAGAACUGAAAAACCAGAUAAUCUGAAAGCGGGAAAGCUUAUCUCCCUCAGAAUUCCACGUAGACAGAUAUCAGAAAAGUGAGAACUGAGCAAUACAACCCAAUAGGCAAAACGUGAAUGACCCUCACGAAUCCCAAAGGUCAUCAUUAACUACCCGACCAACCGCAAAACGACUCAGACCUACGGUAACGGGCACCAUCAUGACAGAAACCAUUAAACGGUCAUUCAACCGUCAAUUAGUACGUCCCUCAUGAAACAGUUGUGACAACCCAAAGGUGCCAUAGGCAUGCCCCAAGCGUCACCUAGCGACGCGAUAAGCGUGAUCGUACUCUCCCCGUGCACGUAUAAAUGGCUACAGCCAUCUCCGAAGUAAAAAUAGUCACGGCCAUCUCAGAACUAAAAAUGGCUACGGCUAUCUCAGAAAGUAAAAAUGGCUACGGCCAUCUCCAACAGAUAAAACGUUUAUGACCAUUUCUAAAUAAAAAACGGCUACGGCCACUGCUAAAAGAUUAAAAGGCUACGGCCAUCUAAGAAGUAAAAAUGGCUACGGCCAUCUCCAAAUCAAAAAUGGCCACGGCUACCUCAGAAGGUAGAAAUGGCUACGGCCAUCUCCAACAGAUAAAACGACUACGGCCAUUUCUAAAUCAAAAACGGCUAUGGCCACCGCUAAAAGAUUAAAAGGCUACGGCCAUCUCCGAAGUAAAAAUGGCUACGGCCAUCUCAGAAGUAAAAAUGGCUACGGGCAUCUCCAAAUCAAAAAUGGCCACGGCCAUCUCAGAGGGUAAAAAUGGCUGCGGCCAUCUCCACCAGAUAAAACAGCUACGGCCAUUUCUAAAUCAAAAACGGCUACGACCACCUCCCAAGUAAAAAAUGGUUACGGCCAUUUCCGAGGAACAAUAGGUUAUGAUCGCCCUCAUCACGUAAACAACCACGGUUAUUGUCGAAAUUCGCUCAUCGAGCUCGCCCCGAGCCCGACCUCAAUAAGCGGAGGGACUAUCUGUAUGGGUAAUAACCUGACCUCAUGCUAAUCAAUGAUAUUGAACUAUGGGUUACGAUCGCCCUCAUCACAUAAACAGUCACGGUUAUUGUCGAAGCUCAUCGAGCUCGGCCCGAGCCCGACCUCAAUAAGCGGAGGGACUAUCUGUAUGGGUCAAAACCUGACCUCAUGAUAAUGAAUGAGAUCGACGUAUUUAUUAAAGUCUAUUUAUAGCUAAUAAAUGGUAUGGCCAUUUAUUCACAAAAUUAUCGGGUAGUUAUCCAAUUUGACAACUAAGGCCACGGCCUGUCCGUCCUCACGAGGGUGUCCCCUCUUUGUAGUCACAACUCCUUUUAUGGCCAUUUAUUCACAAGAUUAUCGGGUAGUUAUCCAAUUUAGAUUUAUUACGAUUUGCUAUGAUUGGCCCUCCGUUUAUUUUAAUUGUUUUAUGCUUCUAAAGUAAAUGAAAACUUUGAGCAAAACACUCAUCAUUUCUCCAUAGUUGGGGUUCUCCUACUGAUAUUUCCGGUUGUUGUUUGUAUCGCGUUUUUUUUCUUCUUUGGUAUCUCUCCUUUUUUUUUCAUCUCAAGUUCUUCUGCCGAUGCUUUUCCUGCUGUAACGGAUAUCAUAUUGUCUUAAUUAAAUAGAUAAUAAUAUGUGCCAAAAUUCAAAUUAUAGCAUAAGAGAAUGAUAGAAGGCACUGUUUCAACAUUUUAAAAAGAAAUAAGGUUGAGAAAAGAGGUAAAAUUAAGGAACACCACAAGAGAAUGGCUCAUUAAUUGGCAGCUAAAAAAGGUUGCAUCAAAUGACAAAAUCACCAGUUCUUAUGUGAUGUACUGACUACGCAAAAGAAAUAAGAAAAAUUAAACAAUAAAAAUUAGAAAAGAGAACUUCUUCGUUCUUGGAUCAUUACUUAGUAAAUUAAGACUUUUAGCGCAGAAGAAAAACAUCAAGAUGAAGAAGAAUAUGUAAUUCAAUUGUAACGAUCCGACCGGUCGUUUUAAUCUUUAGCGCAUCGUUCAGCAGUUGAAAGUUAUGAACAGCUAUAUUUCACGUAUAUUGACUUGUGCAUAUGGUCAGAGUUAAAUUUUGGGAAAUUCGGAGUCAAAUUGAAAAGAAAAUUUUCAUUGCCUUAAGUUGAAGAAAAUAGCUAAGAUUGGAAUUUUGAGUAAACGACCUCGGAAUCGAGAUCUGAAAGUUUCAGCACGUUCGUAUAAUGAUUUCGAACUUGGGCGUAUGUCCAGAUUUGGUUUUGGAUAACCCGAGAGCAUUUCGGCGUAUAUUGUGGAAGUUAGUAUUUUAGAAGAAUUUCAUAAAGGGUUGGAAGGCAUUUCAAUAUUAUAGAUGUCCGUUUGGGAUUUCGAGUCUGGGAAUAGCUCCAUAUGGUGAUUCUAGAGUUGGGAGCGCGAUCCGAAGUGAAUUCGGAUGUCCCGAGGUCAUUUUAAAGUCAUUUGGCUAAAUACAGAAACUUGAAGGUUUUUGAGAAAAUUCGAUCGGAAGUGAAAAUUUUGAUAUCAGGGUCGGAAUACGAUUCCGAAAGUUGGAGCAAGUCCGUAAUAUCGAAUGUGACUUGUGUACAAAAUUUGAAGUCAUUCUAGAAUGAUUUUGGUAAGGUUUGAGACACUUAGUCUCUUUUAAGGAAGCUUAAGUUGGAAAAGUCAACUCGAUAUUGACUUAUGUGUUAGAGGGCUCGAAAUGUGAAUUUUAUAGUUCGGAUAGCUUCGUUAGUUGAUUUGGAAUUUAGGAGUGUGUCCGGAAUAUUUUUGUGAUGACCGGUGUAGAAUUAAGCUUGAAUUGACAAAGUUAGUAUUUUGGCGAAUUCCGGUUGAUAUGUGAGACUUUGAUUCGAGGGUCAGAAUGGAAUUUCGAGAGUUAGUGUGGUUUUAUUAUGUCAUUUUGGACUUGUCUGCAAAAUUUGAGGUCAUUCGGACUAGUUUUUACGUGUUUCGGUAUCGGAUGUGGAAGUUAGAAGUUUCAAAGUUCAUAGGCGUGAAUCGGAAGUGAAUUUAGUAUUUUAGCGUUGUUUUUGGUGAUUCAAAGGAACAACUAAGUUUGUGUCAUAUUAUGGGACUUGUUAGUAAACCUUGUUAGGAUCCCAUGAGGCUCAGAUAAAUUUUGGAAGAGUUUUUGGAAGAUUUUGGCAUUUUGAGCAUAAGCAUAUAAUGAUCCAAAGGUCCAUUUUUUAGUUGUACAUAUCGAAAUUUGAUUUCGAGACUUUCGGAAUUUUGAUAAUGAAUUAUAGGAGUGAUCUGAAAAGUUUGGUUUAAUUUCAUCAAGUCGCGAUUGGGUUUUUGACGCGAAAUGUGAGUUAAUUGUUUAACGAGUGAAAUGAGUAUUGCACUGAGCAAAUGAGCCCCGAAUUAAGUUUUGAUUGAAGGACUAUGUUCGUAUUAUUAUUUGUGAUUCAUAGGAACAAGAAUUAUCGAAUUCCGAGUUCGUAUGGUGGAGUUAGAGCCUUUAGUCAAAAUAAAUAUUGUUGGUGCAACAGCAUCUGGUGCGCACCUUUAGCAACCAGAUUUGGGCACUUUUGGUAACGGGAGUAGGUUUUUAGCGACUAGAAUGGGUCUUUUUAAUGUUGUUCAGCUAUUUUAGCCCAUUUUAACAUUUUUGGGUGAAAGAACACGGCUUGAGGCAAUUUUUGAGCAAGAAAUCUUGAGGUAAGUCCCUUGUGAUCAUUUCUACUCCAUAAUAUUAAAUUACCAUCGAAUAAUCUGAUAAGAUUACAUAUUUUUGAAGUGUUUAAUUGGAGAAAAUCGGUAGAAAAAGCUGGUUUAGGACUUGUAAUUUUGAUACUUUCUAGGGUCGAUUUAAGGGGUCAAACGAGCUCCGAUUUUGGUGUUCUUUAUAUGUACGGACUCAUGAGAGGACGAAGAAUAUUGUGGUAUAAAAAUUUAUGAGUUUCAAAAUGUGGGUAUGGGGCUCGGGUUUUGUCAAAUUCGUAAAUUAUAAUAUUUUUCGAUUUCUUUCGAUUGGGUAUUGUCUCUUUAGUAUAAUGCAACAUAUUCGUUGUGAUUUUGGGCUGAUUCGACACACGUGGAGACCAAUUCAAGGGGGAAAGGCGUCGCAAAUUAAAUAAAUAGCCGGUUCGAGGCGAGUAAUGAUUGUAAAUGAUGUCUUGAUGGUUUGAAACCCCGAAUUUGCACAUCGUAGUGUUAUAUUGAGGUGAGACACAUGCUGGAUAAUGAGCGCGGAAUUCUUUACUACUGGGGAUUUGACUUGAUUCGUCCCAAUUGAUGAGUUUACUGUAUAUUUGGCUAAAACUGAUUUGUUAUUAUCAUGAUUUGGGCUUAUUCCCAUAUUUGGGUUUCAUGUCAAUUAUUUGAAUCCUUUAGGGAUUGAUAUCACUAUUUUUGCAUGAUUUUGCAUAUCAUUUGAUCUUAGUCCAAGGUUUUAAAUAUUGUUUUGCAAACUCAGUCAUUUUCUAAGAUUUGAAAACUUCAAUGAUAUUUUAAAUGAUGCUUUGAGAUGAGAAUUAUUAUUUUAAUAUUGCCCAAGAGGCUUAUGUAAAAUUCUGGACUGAGCAUGGAUGGAUCGGGCUCCGCGCCGCAGCAAUAUUAUACUCAUAUUGAGGACGAGAUCCUUGUUGAUUAUAUUGAUAUUGAGAUCGAGAGCCAGGUUGAUGCCACGAGAUGACUUGAUAUUGCGCUUGGGUUGUAGGAGCCCCUCCGGAGUCUGUACACACCCCCAAUGAGUGUCGUCAAUGAUAAAUAACUAUGGAUGGCUCGGGCUGCAUGCCGCAGUGGGUACCAGAGGGUACCUUCAUAUGCAUUGCAUUGCACUCAUGCAUUUGUUCCUCAUUUGCAUUAUCUUCCAUACUAAUUAUGUGCUCUUAUUUCAUUGGCUGGUUGCUUCAUACUGUUCUGAGCCCGAUGGGCUGAUACUGUUCUGAGAUACUGAUACUGAGCCAGAGGGGAAGACUUCUACUUGUUGUUUGGAAAAUUACCAGCUGUGUCCAUUUAGAAGUAGCUCAUUACAAAAAUUGGCAAUUGAUAAAAUAUUACUAAUAUUAGCCAAAAUGACCAAUUAGCUAUUUGUAGCAAAAAAAUNNNNNNNNNNNNNNNNNNNNNNNNNNNNNNNNNNNNNNNNNNNNNNNNNNNNNNNNNNNNNNNNNNNNNNNNNNNNNNNNNNNNNNNNNNNNNNNNNNNNNNNNNNNNNNNNNNNNNNNNNNNNNNNNNNNNNNNGUUAGAAUAGAUUGGAUAUAUCUUAAGGAGCUUGAAUCUCAGUUUUGGGAUGAUUUGGUAAAAUUUUGAGGUGGUUUGAAUUGAAAAUUUGAAGUAAAAACUGAAUAUGAAAAAAAUGAUACGUGUAUUACAUUGUGUAUCAUAUAUUUGUAUCAAUUCUGUAUUACAUGUAUAUUCAUGUAUACCAGUGUGUGAGAUACAUGCGUGAUAUAUGCUUGAUACAUGUGUCACAGAAGAAUUUUUUUGACAUCGAUUUAAUUAUGAAUUUUGAUACAAAACCAGUCCAAAUCACCUCCAAUCUUCCUCAAAUUUGUAUAAUGACUUAUCUAUAUGUUUUCAACGAAUUUUGACUAUACCCAUUAAAAAAAAUUCCUUGUUUGUUUUAAUUUUUGGAAUAUUGGCCAGAGGUUAGUAAGUUAAAACUUAUAUGUAAUAUUUCUGUAAGUUUCCCUUGUUGUUUUGAUAUUGAGCCCGAGGGGCAGAUUUUUACUUAUUAUUUUAUUGCCAAAUUACCUAUUUUACUGGUUUAAAAGAAAUUUCACAUGAUAUUUCAUUGAAUUGUUAUUUUAAAUGUUUUCACUACUUCUGUAUAGAAUGUUGUGUGCCUUAACGUGUUUUCUUACCUUCAGCCAUUAUUUAUAUUUAUUACUCACUGGGUCGGAGUACUCACAUUACUUCCUGCACCAUGUGUGCAAAUUCAGGCAUAGCAGAUUUCAAUACCUGAGAGAUAAUCCUUCCAGUCUAGAUGGUGUUUCAGAGACUACGAGGUAGUUGUUGGCGUUCGCAGUCCCUGUGACUCCUUUAUCUUAUUAUUUCUAUGUUAUUCGGAUUAUUGUAUCAGAUUUCGUAUUUAGUAGACUUGUGUCAGGAUUUCUUAGUUUCUCAUGACUUGUGACACCACAAUUAGGAUUAUGUGGGUUGGAUUUUUGCAUUUUACCUAUACGCUAUUGGAUAUUAUUAAAUCAUGUUUAUACUAUAAUUGUGUUAAUUAAAUUAUUUUAAAAGGAUAAAUUAGGUUGAAUGGCUGGCCUUAUCUUCACGAGAGGUUGGAUCGUGACAUCAAUUCAGAUCAUGAAAGGAAGAGUCCCUAGAGUCGGAUUGAUGAAGGAAUAACUUCAGUAAUAUCAAAUGCUAAAUUGCUAGCUAAUGGAAAAUAUGCAAUUUCGGCUUCUUCGAUAUGCACAAAUCAGAAGCUUUGCCUCAUGAUCUCGAGUUAAAUACUCCUCUAAUCACAAAUGACUGUGUCACGUCCCUUGAUAUAUAUGGAAUUUCGAUUCAAUAUUAAAUUUUUAACGUUUUUGUCAUUUGACUUGUACACAAAUCUGUCGUUGGAUUUCCUUAUGUUAGUGCAUAAGUACACAAAUUUUAAUAUCUAAAUACAUAUACAUACUUUUUCUUCAAACAGUUUUCACUUAUGUCUUGUGUGUUCAGUGAGUUCAAUAAAUGUUAUCUCAAAAAGUUAGGUAUAACUAUGAUUACAGAAUUAAUGGGAAAACUAGGUAAAUAAAUAACGGGUUAAGGAAAAGGUAUAGUAGCUCAUACCAGCAUAUUCAACAAAUGAAUUCUUUCCUCUUCCAGCAUCAUCUCACUAUAUAUUGGCAAUACAAGACAAAGGAAAACAGAAUAAAUUACAUCCCUAUAAAGGGUUUGGGGUGUGUGUGUGGGUUGGGGGGNNNNNNNNNNNNNNNNNNNNNNNNNNNNNNNNNNNNNNNNNNNNNNNNNNNNNNNNNNNNNNNNNNNNNNNNNNNNNNNNNNNNNNNNNNNNNNNNNNNNNNNNNNNNNNNNNNNNNNNNNNNNNNNNNNNNNNNNNNNNNNNNNNNNNNNNNNNNNNNNNNNNNNNNNNNNNNNNNNNNNNNNNNNGGGGGGGGGGGGGGGGGGGGUGUGUUCAAAGGCUCAUCAUUUUGAGUCAGAAAAUACAUUUAAAGAGCUAAUCCUGUUCAAUUUCUUGUUCCUCCUCAUCUUCAAUUUCUUGCUCUUCCUCAUCUGCAUUUUCCUGCCCAUCUGUAUCCAUCUCCUCACUUUCUUGUUCAUCCUCUUCUUCAUUUCCCAGUUUUUUAGCGCUAGUAUUUCCUGAAGGCAGCAAGCAUGACAGUCGGAAUAAACUAAAACAAUGCCACAAAGUAUUACAAAAAAACAGAAACAAGGGGAAAUGACACUCUAUAGCCGCUCUCAAAAUAAUAGUCGAAUAAAUGUAUAUUUUGUGUAUAUAUAUACAUUUUGUAUGUUAUAUACAAAAGUUACACAAAAUUUUAUAUACUUUUUCAGCUACCAAAUGUAAAUAGUUUCUAUCGCGGGCUAAAAGUGAUAAUACCCCUAUAACAACAACAAAAACAACAACUACCCAGUAUACUCCCACCAGGUGGGGUCUGGGGAGGGUAAUAUGUAGACGAACCUUACCCCUACCCGAAAGGGCAGAGAGGCUGUNNNNNNNNNNNNNNNNNNNNNNNNNNNNNNNNNNNNNNNNNNGGGAGGGUAAUAUGUAGACAAGCCUUACCCCUAUCCGAAAGGGCAGAGAGGUUGUUUCCAAUCGACCCCCGGCUCAUAGGAUAAAAGGAAAAACAGAAGUAAAACAAAAACAAAGACAAACAAAAAACAAUAGAGCAUUAGUAACUCCAGCAGAAAUAACGUAAAUAGCGUAAAUAAUUAUCUAANNNNNNNNNNNNNNNNNNNNNNNNNNNNNNNNNNNNNNNNNNNNNNNNNNNNNNNNNNNNNNNNNNNNNNNNNNNNNNNNNNNNNNNNNNNNNNNNNNNNNNNNNNNNNNNNNNNNNNNNNNNNNNNNNCACAAAUCAUCUAUGGGUAACCCUGCUGACCCACACCCAACCCCGGAUGAGGCGUACGAAAAACUCUAGGAGCCCCUAUCCUACAACCCUGAUAAUACCCCUAUAAACAAUCCUAAAAUUGGAGCGCACAAGGCCUACUCAGAACUGAGACCAAGCAUAGGAACUUGGUCGAAAGAAAUUACAUAUUUCAGCAUGCAUACCUAUCUUCUAACUAGUUUGAUGAAGAAUACCUAAAAACCCCAUCAUAAGGCCACAUUCUUGUGCCUUUGCUUAUGAAAUCACAUUGAUACUUAUUUUUAUUAAAUACAAACAAGAAAUCAAUGAAUCAUUAUUCUGCCUCUACCUCGAACUCCCCUUGCAUACUGCUGGUUACAAAAAUUCUGUAGUUGGCCGACCUAAUGGGCAGCCAAUUCACCAAAGAUAAUUCCCACUACAGGUGAUUCACUAAGAUAUACCAAGUACUUGGGCCGCAUGUAAACAUGAAGACAACCCGUAUAAUAGGCAAUUAAUCUUCUGAGUCUAUAUGGACAGGAUCCCAAAUUCUAUUUAUACCCUUCAAAGCAAUGUCAAAUCCUAUUCAUACCCUUCAAAGCAAUGCCAAAUUCCCCCUGCUCCAGACUAUCCACCCACCUCCAAUUCACCUGGUAAAAGAAAGAGGAUUGUUUGCUUCAAAAGUAAGAAAGGGAGGUUAUAGAGGAAAAUACCGUAUUCACUGAACAUGACUCGACCAGUACAUAGGCCCUCUUCAAUCUUGACGAGUUGAAGAGUCAUCUUAGGUCCAAGCUCUUGAAGUUUGACAGCACUUUUUGUAGAAGCUCGAUUAACUCUUCCAAUAUCAGAUGACAGACUUACAGUUGCCGCCUCAUCAUCUGGUUCACUUUCAGAACCGUAACCAGCCCUUCAUUUAUAAAGCAGAUAGAGACAAAUGAAAAAAUAAGAGAAGUAUAACAAUAAGAAGACUGUAAUCUUUUUGAUGAAGUAAUAAUAAUUAUUAAAAAGAAGGGCAAUAAAGCACCCCUACACAAGAAGUAUACCAAAAAGUAGAGAACACAAUAAAAUGUGGUUUUCUACUAAUGACAAUCAUUCUUCUAUCCAAACAAUAACCUCAUGGGUGCACCAAAAAGAAAUGAAAAAUAAAUUCCUCAAAUGGACAAAAUCUUUUUCUAUUCCAUCAAAAGCUCUUCUAUUUCUCCCUCCCAUAUGAUCCACAUAAGUGCUAGUGGUGCAACCUCCCACGCCCUAUGCCUUCUCCUUCUAAAACUCCAACUAAAAAAAACUUCUUUGACCGUUCCUAGCAUCACCAACUGAAUACCAAACCAACAAACUAUUUCUCAUGAUGACUGAAAUUGGAAUUUUCCGGAUUACCAAGACAUGCUAAGCACAGCAAAAUUGUUAAUAGCCAAAACGGAUACAUAUAUAUGCAUCUACUUCAGUUACAUCCUCGUCUCUAAAACCGCGACAUCCUUGCCCAUAGAAAAAAGUUUUGAGAUACUAAAAGGGUCAUUUAGUUGGCAGAAAAGUUUAGGAGGAUGGCAAACCAUCAAAUGAGGGAUGGAAUUGCACAAGAAAAAUUUGUUAGUUAAGUAAUUGUGGAUGAGAUUCAAUAAAAUUUUCUCCGGGUCUGGCUCAUGUAUUGGAAAUCAAAAUUAGCCUAUGGUCCUUUCGCAUUAAACUUGCUAUAUACAUCACCACGUGCACGUGCACUUUAUUUGGAGGAUGCACGUGCUGAGCAUGGGCCUGAGCUUAGAAGAUGCUGUUUGCUCAGUUGCUCAUUGGUUUUUACCUUUGUGGCUUGAUCCUUUGUAGCUUUAGACAUGGUCCCUGAAACUCAAAUGUCGUGUUUUCAAUUACAAUGUUUCUUUAGGUUCCAACCUCUGCGGAACUGUGGAUAAUACACAUAAGCAGCCUAUGCAGAUGAUCUAUGUGUUUGCUUGUACAUAUUUUCCUCUUCAUUUCUAGUUGAGUAGUUUGCUUUUAGAAUUGAGUAUGAAUGCAAGUACUAUACAUCAUCACAUAGCUUAGUAGACAACUAAUGCUUAAUGCCUUAAUCCACAAGCUAGAGAUUCAGUUUUAGAAUUACCCCAGGGCUUUGGUCCACCAGGACGGUGAUUCACAGUGAUCAAAACAAAGUAACAAUUUUGCUCCCAACCCAAGCAGAACAAUCAAUUGCACUAAUGGCACCAAUGAAUAUUCGCCCAGCACAUUGUUUUAAGGCACAGGAAACAAGAGGAAUUUAACCAAAAGAACAGAGAGUUUUCACCAACAAAACAAAUUAUGCAACCCCUGAUCUGCAAUGCCCAAACGUCAAAAGCAUGGAAGCUGUAUUCAAUGACCAGUUGAAUCUCGUGGAAGGUAAGCAUGUUGACCAAGAACUGUGUACUUAUAGUCACUUAUAAAAUAGUAUAGGAUUUGGAUAUAUGUGUGCGCAUGCAUACAGGAUUAAGUUGUCUACAAGGCCGAGGGAAGUGAGCAACCAUUGAAAAACGGAUAGAAUAAGGUGUUGGACGGAUCAAACGGGAUGGAAUUCUUCGAAGGAUCAACUUGGGUAAUAAUCAAAGAGCAAGAGGGGUGAAUGAAGGUAGUAGGGUUUAGGGGCCUUAAGGCAAUAGUGAAGAAGAAGUAACAUAAGAUUUUCCGCAGUAAUCAGCAAUCUCUGUUCUACAUAACACAAUUCCAUAGAGAAAAUAGUGAAGAAGUAAAAUUAGAAUUUCUGCAGUAAUCAGCAAUCUCAGUUCUACUUAACACAAUUCCAUGGAGAUAAUAAACACAGAUGGCAAUAUUAAGUCUAAACCAAGUUCUCAACUGACUAUGAAUAGAAAAAGGUUUAAUCCACCUCGCAAUAAACCAAAAAAAGAAGUCAUAAACCAGACAGAUUAAUGAAGGAAGAUUAUCUCAUGAAGUGCAAUAAAAAAUACAUAUGAGCAUUAAGAGAGAUAGACACAUACUCGUCACAAAGUCACUAACAUCCUGAAGACUUCUUAGGUCAGGCACUUGAUGGUUUUGCACAAAUUUCCUGAUCCGGCGAGAAACACCCACUGGCUGUAAUCUGAUGGAGUAAUGCCGAAGAUCAAUAAGCUUCGUUUCUUUGUUGUAAUUAAGUAACACAAUCCUUUGGCAUGAAGGCAGUUUGACCUGCAACGUGUAACAACCUUGCCAUUAAAAGCUGGUGAAACAAACUGUGGCAAAUAUAGAAAUUUAUAUAUGGUUCUCAGUUCUCACUCACUGUAUUUAUGUCAAUGGCAGGAAAAAUGUUCUGGAACAUUAUUGUAGUGAGCUUUAGAUGCUGCUCCCCAGUCCCAAAACCCGAUAGCACAAUCUGCAAGCAUAAUUCUGGAGCUCAGCUGACCGAGUAUAGAAACAAAAGAAUGCUAAUACGAGACAACCUACUUUAUGCAAUGCCAACAUCCCAUGUCUUCAUGGGUUUGCUUCUAGAUGUAUGACAGCUCAGCUGACCGGGUAAAGAAACAAAAGAAUGCUAACACGAGACAACCUACUUUAUGCAAUGCCAACAUCCCAUGUCUUCAUGGGUUUGCUUCUAGAUGUAUCAUGUACUUCUACAUGUUAAGCAGAUUAAGUAUGUACUCCUAGGUGCAUGUACAUGUCAGGAGGUGUAAAAUAAUUAGCUACGUGCCAACGGGGAAAGAUUACCAAUGGUGGGGUUUUAAAAAGAUCCGGAGGGCAUCUUGGACGGAGUUGAGAUUGAGCAACGUCAGCAGCCAACGAGUACUCAUGUAUUUUGAACGAUAAAGUUGGACCAUGAGGAGUGUGAGCAACUCUCAAGUAUGGUGCAGAGUCGGUUUUUGACAACAUGAGGUAAUGUGUGAUAAAGUUGGACCAUGAGGAGCGUAAGCAACUCUCAAGUAUGGUGCAGAAUCAGUUUUUGACAACAUGAGGUAGUGUGUGACACCCAUUUUCCCAGCAACUUUCCAGAAAUCAUUGAGAUUGUUUCGUUUCUUUUCCUGAAAAUAAAUUGGAAACAUAAAUCCAGUCAAACAUAUACAAAAUGCAGACAAGAGAAUCUUGUAAUAUUCAGAACAACAUAGAUACAGAUCAGUGUUAUAAAAGGAGAAAAGCGCAAAAAAGCUCUAAGGUCCGUUGGGGCUUUAAGCGCAAAGCACAAAUAAAGCGUGAGCUUUAAUGAAAAAAAACGCAACGGGAGAAAAAGUAAAAAUAUACAUAGUAGUCCAAGACUAAUCAUUAUAAGCAUGAAUAACAAAUAUAUGGACAAAGAAAUUGAAUAAAAAAUUCAUGAUAAAAUGAAAAGUUUUAAUGAAAAAAGGCGCAACGGAAGAAAAAAGUAAAAAUAUGCAUAGUAGUCCAAGACUAAUCAUUAUAAGCAUGAAUAACAAAUAUAUAGACAAAGAAAUUGAAUAAAAAUUCAUGAUAAAGUGAAAUAUCAGUUGUUUAAGGUCGCCAUUUCAGGAUUACACUCAUUGGCAAGGAAAAAUAUGCGUUAAAGCUUUGAUGCGAUACUAAAGCGCCCACAAAGCGAAGCGAAGCGCUCAACGUGUUUUGAGCCUCGCUUCAGGGCUUAAGCGCGCUUUAAGCGCGCCUUUGACAAUACUGGUAUAGAUAAAAUUUACAGCAGAAAACAUGUUCCUGCAUGUAGCUUAUUUCAGAAGACAAUUUCAGGCAUUGCUGCAAAAAGCUACGCAGCUAAUAAACCAGUGAAAUAGAAAGAAGAUAGAAGUGCUAAAGAGAUCUGAGCUGUCAAUGAACAUACAAUUUUAACUUUUGAUUUCCUCUUUUCAUUCAAAUAGUGGGAAUUCAGCAGCCAGCUGAAUACAGGCGUAAUGAAUACACAAGCCAAACGGAAAAGGUCAAUACAUGUGAAUACAUGCACGUACGGCCGGAGUGUCCUAAUUUUAGACGCUUUGAAUACAACACCGCGAAUACAUGUGAAUACAUGCGCGUACAGUUGGACUGCCUAAUUUUAGGCGCUUUUUGAUGUUGUAUUCAUGAAUACAUAGUGCGAAUACAUGUGAAUACAUGCGGGUAUAGCUGGACUACCCUACUUUUUAGGCGCUUUUUCUUGUUGUAUUCAUGAAUUCAUCAGCGCGAAUACAGCGAAUACACUACCGUAACAACUGAAUAGCAGCUAUAGGAAGUAAUUAUGUAUAUGGUAGCUAUAGGAAGUUAAUAGCCACUAAACAAUAGUGGUUUCUAAAAAUUCCUCUUAAAAUAAGAGAGAGGGAUAAACAUCACAAAUAACUAUCUAAACGUAAACAUAUUGAGCCAAAACUUAUUUACUACAUAACUUUUGUUAACGUCCAACUAUUAAUCAAAAUAUCUAAGUCAACAAGAAAGAUAUUAACAAAUGGAAUAGUAGGACUUUUUACUGAACCUCUUUUUUAUUUUAUCUAGUGGCUUAUUUGCGAUGAAAAUAUUAUUUUAAAGGGGAACAGUCAAGUUCUUGAUAUUUUAUUAACCGUUAAGCUUACCAUAUUUUUAGUACAAAAUUCUACACAAGUUUCAUUAUUUAAUUAGAGUCUCUUAACCAAAUACUUUUAAUUUCCAAUGAUAAGGCGGAAUGAAAUUAGAGUAACCCAGCAAAUAGUACCCAUUCAUAGUUAAGAGCUUCACUGUGUAUAACAUCUCCGAUACCAGUUCAAUGCUUUCUUUGUUUGCGUAAUUCUUGUGUUAAAUAUGGGUUUGACUUGAACCAUUUUUUACCGGUAUAAAUAUGUGCAAUUUGGGUUAUAACCCAUUUAUUUUCUAUUUAACCCGUUUUCAACCCGCUCAGAUUUUAGCUAACCCGCCUGUUUGCCAUCACUAGAAGUGGGUGAGAACCAUGAGGUCUCAGGUUCAAAUCUUCCCAUCUAUACAAGCUUUGGUGGAUAGAGUUACUUGGUACCUGUCCCGUGGACUUAGUCUAGGUGCGCGCAAGCGGGUCCGGACACCACGAUUAUCAAAAAAAUAUACUCGUAGCAAGAGGUCCUGAUCAUAUUCGCAGCCCAUGUAAAAUAAUGAGUCAGAAAAGACCACAUAAAUGUUUCUUGACUCAAAUCAAGACUGUCUAGCAAACACCAAAUAAUGCAACCCAAUGCACAGAUAUACAUGCAUACACUUGAAUUCUAUGUUAAGAUUACCUUGAGCUUGAGAGCAGUAUAAGGAUUCAUCAACUUCCUCAAGUCCAUUUGCAAGCGUCUGAGAGGCCCAGGAAGCUUCCCCCUUGCGAACACAAAGCUCCUUGGAAUCUUGUCUCCUGUAACAUGGUCUACUGUUGGCUGCUUCUUCGCAAUUUGCUUGACAAAUGGCUUCCUCUUCUUCUGAUUAAAUGAGCAUUCAAGAAUUCAGCUCAAACACCACCAAAAAAUUGUCACAGAGCUUACAAAAUUUCAGAUAAAGAAACCCAUUCUUCUGCAGAAUCAUUGGUUAGUUAAACAUCAUUUCUCAUUUCAAUUCGGGAAAAAAUACCCAAAAAAAUUUCCAUUGGUAAUUCGUUUUCCUUUGCUUUCACGGAAACCAAAAAUGGAUAAACAAAGUGCAACAUAUUCCAUUCAGACGACGGCUUCCUCACAAAAAUAUUCAAAAUUCCAGCUCAGAUGAUUAAACUAGUGUUUUUUCAGAAGGAAACCCAAAACUUUAAUCCAAUUAUAGUUAUUACUUAUCAUCACUUGUUCUAACCCGCGGAAAGACAAUAAAAAGGGAUAAAAUUUCAUGAAGAAUCCUUAUGGAAAUUAUAAACAGCUAAAAACUCAAAACAUCAAUUCAAUUUAAUGAUAGUUUUUUUUGUAUUAGAGCAGAUGACAAAACCAAAAGAAUCAAGGGUCACAAAUAAUCAGUACAGCUAAAAAAAUCCAGAAGUUUGUUCAUAGUUUCAGGGCAGGAAAAAAAGUGACCUAAAAAAGGGGUCAUAUGUAGUAGAGCUUAUUACGCAUUUUCACGAACUAACCAAACAUAGGAAUUAAACAAAAGCAGAACAACUUACAUUCCUGAAACGAGCCAUGCUCUCUUCCAAUAUGCGGAUUGCAAAUUUAUCAGUUUUGGGGAUUUUUAUAAAAACCCAAUGCUUCAGAGGUUUAGGGCAGUGAAGGAGGAAAUACUGGCUAAAAACCUCUACUCUUCAAUAAAGAGUUUUUUUCGUUAUUCCAAGGAGCCUUUCCUGUGUUAAAAUAUAGUCUUAGUGUGCGGGACGUGUGCCUAGCGUCAAUUAGUAAAAUAUGUUAUAUAAAUUAGAUUUUAAAAUAUGUGUCCAGAGUCAAUUAGUAAAGAACAUACAAAGAAUUUUAAAAUGACUACACUAGGUUAAUUAACUUCAUUUAUAGAAAAAUAUAAGAAGUUGUCAUUUGUUAAAGUGAGUACGAAAAGAAAAUUAAUGACAAUUCAAUUAGGAUAUGUUUGGUACGAAGGAAAAUAUUUUUGAUAAAAAAUAAGUGAUUUUAUUACUUAUUUUUUCUUGUUUGAUUGGUGAGUGAAAAAAUUUUUUCGAAUAUUUUUUAGUUUGUGGUUAGAUAAUAGAAAAUAUUUUAUUAAUGAUACUCUCCUCACCCUCCCCCCACCCAAAGUCCACAUGUCUCCUUGCUCCUCCUUCCCCCCAAAUUAAAAGAAAAUACUUAUUUGUUGAAAUAAAAAAAUAUAUUUAUAACAUAAAAGAAAGUACUAUUAAUAAUUUUUUUCAUUUAGGGUGAGGUGGUGGGGGUGGGGGUAAGGGUGAAAUGGUGGGGGUUGGUAUGGAUGUGGAAUAUGAUGGGGAAAGUUAAAAAAAUAUUUUUGAAAAUGUUUUCCCUUCUUUUGAUAGGGAAAAUAUUUUCGUCCAAUUAGAAGAAAAUAAGUUGAUGAGGAAAAUAUUUUUAAAAAUAUUUAAGCCAACUAAACAUGAAAAAAUUGAAAACAAAUUUCUAGAAAAAAUUUCCUCCGCACCAAACACACCCUUAGUAUUAUUUUAAUUUGGUUUAUCAUUAUUGCAUAAAGUUUGCAUUUGCACCAAUUUGGCUUAUACGAUUUAUAUGAUAAAUUUAAAAAAAAAGAUGACUGGCUUUUUUCUUUUGCAAAGUAAUUAAUUUAAAGAUUAUUUUUUGGUUGUAUUGAUUCAAGGACUUAAUAAUUUGUUCUUAACAUUAAAGAAAAUAAAUUAUUGUUGAUUCAACCUUAAUAUUAGCUCAUUCCAAAUUUAACUGUAAGUUUGUAAUUAAAAUUAUUAUUCAAUAAGAAUUUUAUGCUCAAAGAAUAAAAAAUCACCAUGGCAUUUCACUUUUGGUUUUUACUUGAGUAGUGUCAUUAGUGUUCUCUAACCAAUUAUUCUUUUUCUUUUAUAUUCUUAAAAUUAAAAUAUUUUCUUAGUUAAACUUGAUACCUAUAUUUUAGAAAUUUUGUAAAUACUCUCAAGCAUGGUUUAAUAACCAAAAUUUUAUUUAAUUUUCAAAUUCUAAAACAUAAAAAAAA
RNAcentral lists this long non-coding RNA (35657 nucleotides) under Nicotiana benthamiana. RNAcentral describes it as "long non-coding RNA (NBEN_LNC027310)". The record is from RNAcentral. Lineage: Eukaryota; Viridiplantae; Streptophyta; Magnoliopsida; Solanales; Solanaceae.